GCAUGUCAAAGACCAUCGUCCUAGGAAAAUCCAGUAGGCUCUCUAACGCUAGAUAGUUUGGUUGAGGAUAGGCUUUUGGAAUGUAUUGAAGAAGUCCAGCUGCAUGGCUAUCAGUUCUUCCCCUGACAAGGCUGUUGUACUGUUUCGUUUUAAAUAUUGCAGUAUCUUUUAUUUUGCUUAUAAAAAUUAUUCAUAUGUAAUAUCA
This 205-nucleotide unclassified non-coding RNA is filed under the name Hevea brasiliensis (rubber tree). Lineage: Eukaryota; Viridiplantae; Streptophyta; Magnoliopsida; Malpighiales; Euphorbiaceae. The record is from RNAcentral.